UACAGAGGUCCCAAGCGUUGUUCGGAUUCACUGGGCGUAAAGGGUGCGUAGGCGGCCUUCUAAGUCGGACGUGAAAGCCCCAGGCUUAACCUGGGAACUGCGUCCGAUACUGGGAGGCUUGGAUUCGGGAGAGGGAUGUGGAAUUCCAGGUGUAGCGGUGAAAUGCGUAGAUAUCUGGAGGAACACCGGUGGCGAAGGCGGCAUCCUGGACCGAGAUCGACGCUGAGGCGCGAAAGCUAGGGGAGCAAACGGG
RNAcentral lists this ribosomal RNA (253 nucleotides) under uncultured bacterium. Its description in RNAcentral is "partial 16S ribosomal RNA". It matches the Rfam family "Bacterial small subunit ribosomal RNA", at positions 524 to 776 of the family's 1533-position model. The record is from RNAcentral.